GAAAGUGUGGGGAGCGAACAGGAUUAGAUACCCUGGAAGUCCACACCGUAAACGUUGGGCGCUAGGUGUGGGACUCAUUCCACGAGUUCCGUGCCGCAGCUAACGCAUUAAGCGCCCCGCCUGGGGAGUACGGCCGCAAGGCUAAAACUCCAAAGGAAUUGACGGGGGCCCGCACAAGCGGCGGAGCAUGCGGAUUGAUUCGAUGCAACGCGAAGAACCUUACCUGGGUUUGACAUAUAGAGAAAUCCCCUAGAGAUAGGGGGUCCGUAAGGGCUCUAUACAGGUGGUGCAUGGCUGUCGUCAGCUCGUGUCGUGAGAUGUUGGGUUAAGUCCCGCAACGAGCGCAACCCUCGUCUUAUGUUGCCAGCACGUAAUGGUGGGGACUCAUAAGAGACUGCCGGGGUCAACUCGGAGGAAGGUGGGGAUGACGUCAAGUCAUCAUGCCCCUUAUGUCCAGGGCUUCACGCAUGCUACAAUGGCCGGUACAAAGGGCUGCGAAACCGCAAGGUGGAGCGAAUCCCAAAAAGCCGGUCUCAGUUCGGAUUGGGGUCUGCAACUCGACCCCAUGAAG
RNAcentral lists this ribosomal RNA (571 nucleotides) under uncultured Actinomycetes bacterium. RNAcentral's name for it is "bacterial SSU rRNA". It matches the Rfam family "Bacterial small subunit ribosomal RNA", at positions 755 to 1325 of the family's 1533-position model. Lineage: Bacteria; Bacillati; Actinomycetota; Actinomycetes. The record is from RNAcentral.